Molecule: transfer RNA, 72 nt
Filed under: Candidatus Azambacteria bacterium
Lineage: Bacteria; Candidatus Azamiibacteriota
Description: tRNA-Ile
Rfam family: tRNA
About the family: Transfer RNA (tRNA) molecules are approximately 80 nucleotides in length. Their secondary structure includes four short double-helical elements and three loops (D, anti-codon, and T loops).
Source: RNAcentral
GGGCAUGUAGUUCAGUGGUAGAACGCUUCACUGAUAAUGAAGAGGUCGAAGGUUCGAUUCCUUCCAUGCCCA